GAAUAUUGGACAAUGGGCGCAAGCCUGAUCCAGCCAUGCCGCGUGAGUGAUGAAGGCCCUAGGGUUGUAAAGCUCUUUUGUGCGGGAAGAUAAUGACGGUACCGCAAGAAUAAGCCCCGGCUAACUUCGUGCCAGCAGCCGCGGUAAUACGAAGGGGGCUAGCGUUGCUCGGAAUCACUGGGCGUAAAGGGUGCGUAGGCGGGUCUUUAAGUCAGGGGUGAAAUCCUGGAGCUCAACUCCAGAACUGCCUUUGAUACUGAAGAUCUUGAGUUCGGGAGAGGUGAGUGGAACUGCGAGUGUAGAGGUGAAAUUCGUAGAUAUUCGCAAGAACACCAGUGGCGAAGGCGGCUCACUGGCCCGAUACUGACGCUGAGGCACGAAAGCGUGGGGAGCAAACAGG
RNAcentral lists this ribosomal RNA (400 nucleotides) under uncultured bacterium. Its description in RNAcentral is "bacterial SSU rRNA". It matches the Rfam family "Bacterial small subunit ribosomal RNA", at positions 359 to 776 of the family's 1533-position model. The record is from RNAcentral.